RNAcentral lists this ribosomal RNA (424 nucleotides) under uncultured prokaryote. Its description in RNAcentral is "bacterial SSU rRNA". It matches the Rfam family "Bacterial small subunit ribosomal RNA", at positions 355 to 796 of the family's 1533-position model. The record is from RNAcentral.
UGGGGAAUAUUGGACACUGGGGGCAACCCUGAUCCAGCCAUGCCGCGUGAGUGAUGAAGGCCUUAGGGUUGUAAAGCUCUUUCGCACGCGACGAUGAUGACGGUAGCGUGAGAAGAAGCCCCGGCUAACUUCGUGCCAGCAGCCGCGGUAAUACAGAGGGUGCAAACGUUGCUCGGAAUGACUGGGCGUAAAGCGCGCGCAGGUGGCCCGUUAAGUCGGCUGUGAAAUCCCCUGGCUCAACCAGGGAAGUGCAGUCGAUACUGGCGGGCUCGAGUCCCGGAGAGGGUGGUAGAAUUCCCAGUGUAGAGGUGAAAUUCGUAGAUAUUGGGAGGAAUACCGGUGGCGAAGGCGACCGCCUGGACGGGUACUGACACUGAGGCGCGAAAGCGUGGGGAGCAAACAGGAUUAGAUACCCCCGUAGUCC